AAAACACGAGUAAAUAAUAAAAUCAAGUUGGCAGGCUGGUAAUGUGCUUGAAAUUGAUUUUUUGUAGCAGCAGAGGACAACAAGCGAAGACAGACUCAGGACCAGGGAUAGAGACAGGACCAACAAUUGGCUACGAAGAGCAAGUCUACGGCAGGAUGUCUCUCGAUGGAGUCGGGCAAGGUUUUAAGGCAGUUGCAGAGGACACCAAGAAUAAGGGCUUAAAUUUUCGCUCACAGUGAACCAGCGGUCGCAAUGGAAAGUGGAUUUUGUUUCGGCUCUGACGCUGGCGCUGGAACUGGCGUUGUCAACUGAAAUGCUCGCUGGAACGCAAUGAAAUUCCUAAAUCAAUAAAUGUUUCGAUGGCUUAAUUCCAAAGCGGAA
This is a long non-coding RNA of Drosophila pseudoobscura, 381 nucleotides long. RefSeq lists it as uncharacterized. The record is from RefSeq and is a predicted model, not a curated record. The transcript has 2 exons. Lineage: Eukaryota; Metazoa; Arthropoda; Insecta; Diptera; Drosophilidae.